UACGUGGGGUGCGAGCGUUGUCCGGAAUUAUUGGGCGUAAAGGGCUCGUAGGCGGUUUGUCGCGUCGGGAGUGAAAACCAUGGGCUUAACUCAUGGCUUGCUUCCGAUACGGGCAGACUAGAGGUAUGCAGGGGAGAACGGAAUUCCUGGUGUAGCGGUGAAAUGCGCAGAUAUCAGGAGGAACACCGGUGGCGAAGGCGGUUCUCUGGGCAUUACCUGACGCUGAGGAGCGAAAGUGUGGGGAGCGAACAGG
RNAcentral lists this ribosomal RNA (253 nucleotides) under uncultured bacterium. RNAcentral's name for it is "partial 16S ribosomal RNA". It matches the Rfam family "Bacterial small subunit ribosomal RNA", at positions 524 to 776 of the family's 1533-position model. The record is from RNAcentral.